GACGAACGCUGGCGGCGUGCUUAACACAUGCAAGUCGAACGGAAAGGCCCAGCUUGCUGGGUACUCGAGUGGCGAACGGGUGAGUAACACGUGGGUGAUCUGCCCUGCACUCUGGGAUAAGCCUGGGAAACUGGGUCUAAUACCGGAUAUGACCGACUGUCGCAUGGUGGUUGGUGGAAAGCUUUUGCGGUGUGGGAUGGGCCCGCGGCCUAUCAGCUUGUUGGUGGGGUAAUGGCCUACCAAGGCGACGACGGGUAGCCGACCUGAGAGGGUGAUCGGCCACACUGGGACUGAGACACGGCCCAGACUCCUACGGGAGGCAGCAGUGGGGAAUAUUGCACAAUGGGCGCAAGCCUGAUGCAGCGACGCCGCGUGAGGGAUGACGGCCUUCGGGUUGUAAACCUCUUUCGCCAGGGACGAAGCGUGAGUGACGGUACCUGGAGAAGAAGCACCGGCCAACUACGUG
Molecule: ribosomal RNA, 466 nt
Filed under: uncultured bacterium
Lineage: Bacteria
Description: partial 16S ribosomal RNA
Rfam family: Bacterial small subunit ribosomal RNA
Source: RNAcentral